CUGAGGCAAGCUGCCUUGCGACUUGCGGCUGGACCUGAGAAGGGAGGAGUUACUCAUCCCCUUAAGCUUUCAGGCCCCGGGGCAGAAUCUUACAGUUACCAGUCUAUAAAAGAGACUUUAGUGAAGUUCCAAGACACUAACUAGUUUGAGAACAGCAAGAAGUUCAGUUCCAGCAUAGGACUAAUAGGAAGUAGCUAGGUUAUAAAGCUUUAGAAGUUCAAGAAUAAACACAAUGAGAGGCUUCAGUAGCUAUGAGGACAAGUUUGGUAGACCUGAAGAAAAACCUUGAAAACCCAAAUGACCUUGACUUGACAUUUCCAUAGCUGCAAUGAAAAGCAAAAGAUAUUUGCCAAUGAACAAUAACCUGGAUGCUCAAAG
RNAcentral lists this long non-coding RNA (378 nucleotides) under Homo sapiens (human). RNAcentral describes it as "non-protein coding lnc-BORA-1:1". The record is from RNAcentral. Lineage: Eukaryota; Metazoa; Chordata; Mammalia; Primates; Hominidae.